AUGGCUCAGAUUGAACGCUGGCGGCAGGCCUAACACAUGCAAGUCGAACGGUAACAGGAAGCAGCUUGCUUCUUCGCUGACGAGUGGCGGACGGGUGAGUAAUGUCUGGGAAACUGCCUGAUGGAGGGGGAUAACUACUGGAAACGGUAGCUAAUACCGCAUAACGUCGCAAGACCAAAGAGGGGGACCUUCGGGCCUCUUGCCAUCGGAUGUGCCCAGAUGGGAUUAGCUUGUGGUGGGGUAACGGCUCACCAGGCGACGAUCCCUAGCUGGUCUGAGAGGAUGACCAGCCACACUGGAACUGAGACACGGUCCAGACUCCUACGGGAGGCAGCAGUGGGGAAUAUUGCACAAUGGGCGCAAGCCUGAUGCAGCCAUGCCGCGUGUAUGAAGAAGGCCUUCGGGUUGUAAAGUACUUUCAGCGGGGAGGAAGGGAGUAAAGUUAAUACCUUUGCUCAUUGACGUUACCCGCAGAAGAAGCACCGGCUAACUCCGUGCCAGCAGCCGCGGUAAUACGGAGGGUGCAAGCGUUAAUCGGAAUUACUGGGCGUAAAGCGCACGCAGGCGGUUUGUUAAGUCAGAUGUGAAAUCCCCGGGCUCAACCUGGGAACUGCAUCUGAUACUGGCAAGCUUGAGUCUCGUAGAGGGGGGUAGAAUUCCAGGUGUAGCGGUGAAAUGCGUAGAGAUCUGGAGGAAUACCGGUGGCGAAGGCGGCCCCCUGGACGAAGAC
This 730-nucleotide ribosomal RNA is filed under the name Shigella sp. RNAcentral describes it as "bacterial SSU rRNA". It matches the Rfam family "Bacterial small subunit ribosomal RNA", at positions 19 to 740 of the family's 1533-position model. Lineage: Bacteria; Pseudomonadati; Pseudomonadota; Gammaproteobacteria; Enterobacterales; Enterobacteriaceae. The record is from RNAcentral.